UACAGAGGUCGCAAGCGUUGUUCGGAUUCAUUGGGCGUAAAGGGUGCGUAGGUGGCGCCGUAAGUCAGGUGUGAAAUUUCGGAGCUUAACUCCGAAACUGCAUUUGAUACUGCGGUGCUUGAGGACUGGAGAGGAGACUGGAAUUCACGGUGUAGCAGUGAAAUGCGUAGAUAUCGUGAGGAAGACCAGUGGUGAAGGCGGGUCUCUGGGCAGUACCUGACACUGAGGCACGAAGGCCAGGGGAGCAAACGGG
RNAcentral lists this ribosomal RNA (253 nucleotides) under uncultured bacterium. RNAcentral's name for it is "partial 16S ribosomal RNA". It matches the Rfam family "Bacterial small subunit ribosomal RNA", at positions 524 to 776 of the family's 1533-position model. The record is from RNAcentral.